Molecule: ribosomal RNA, 1424 nt
Filed under: uncultured bacterium
Lineage: Bacteria
Description: bacterial SSU rRNA
Rfam family: Bacterial small subunit ribosomal RNA
Source: RNAcentral
UUGAUCAUGGCUCAGGACGAACGCUGGCGGCGUGCUUAACACAUGCAAGUCGAACGGUGAAGCGCCUUCCUUUUUGGUGGGUGUGGAUGAGUGGCGAACGGGUGAGUAACACGUGAGUAACCUGCCCCCUUCUUCUGGAUAACCGCAUGAAAGUGUGGCUAGUACGGGAUAUUCUGUGCCUGCUGCAUGGUGGGUGUGGGAAAGAUUGCGCUUUUUUGGUGUUUUUGGUGGGGGAUGGGCUCGCGGCCUAUCAGCUUGUUGGUGGGGUGAUGGCCUACCAAGGCGGUGACGGGUAGCCGGCCUGAGAGGGUGGACGGUCACACUGGGACUGAGACACGGCCCAGACUCCUACGGGAGGCAGCAGUGGGGAAUAUUGCACAAUGGGCGCAAGCCUGAUGCAGCGACGCCGCGUGAGGGAUGGAGGCCUUCGGGUUGUGAACCUCUUUCGCCAGUGAAGCAGGCCUGCUCCUUUUUUGUGGGUGGGUUGACGGUAGCUGGAUAAGAAGCGCCGGCUAACUACGUGCCAGCAGCCGCGGUAAUACGUAGGGCGCGAGCGUUGUCCGGAAUUAUUGGGCGUAAAGAGCUCGUAGGCGGCUGGUCGCGUCUGUCGUGAAAUCCUCUGGCUUAACUGGGGGCUUGCGGUGGGUACGGGCCGGCUUGAGUGCGGUAGGGGAGACUGGAACUCCUGGUGUAGCGGUGGAAUGCGCAGAUAUCAGGAAGAACACCGGUGGCGAAGGCGGGUCUCUGGGCCGUUACUGACGCUGAGGAGCGAAAGCGUGGGGAGCGAACAGGAUUAGAUACCCUGGUAGUCCACGCCGUAAACGUUGGGCACUAGGUGUGGGGGGCCUUUUCCGGGUUUUCCGCGCCGUAGCUAACGCAUUAAGUGCCCCGCCUGGGGAGUACGGCCGCAAGGCUAAAACUCAAAGGAAUUGACGGGGGCCCGCACAAGCGGCGGAGCAUGCGGAUUAAUUCGAUGCAACGCGAAGAACCUUACCAAGGCUUGACAUGUGCCGGUCGGCUCCGGAGACGGGGUUUCCUCCUUGUGGGGCCGGUUCACAGGUGGUGCAUGGUUGUCGUCAGCUCGUGUCGUGAGAUGUUGGGUUAAGUCCCGCAACGAGCGCAACCCUUGUCUCGUGUUGCCAGCACGUUGUGGUGGGGACUCGCGGGAGACUGCCGGGGUCAACUCGGAGGAAGGUGGGGAUGACGUCAAAUCAUCAUGCCCCUUAUGUCUUGGGCUUCACGCAUGCUACAAUGGCCGGUACAGAGGGCUGCGAUACCGUGAGGUGGAGCGAAUCCCUUAAAGCCGGUCUCAGUUCGGAUCGGUGUCUGCAACUCGACACCGUGAAGUUGGAGUCGCUAGUAAUCGCAGAUCAGCAACGCUGCGGUGAAUACGUUCUCGGGCCUUGCACACACCGCCCGUCAAG